AAGGAUAGCUAGACAUGUGGGCUUAUGUGGGAAAACAGAAGGCCCUGGCACAAAAUCACAAUGCAGACAGUGAAAUUGAUUGUUACCUAACAAGACCUGAAGCCAAGGGAGCUCUGAUGCUCAGAGAAGAUGAUGGGGUGCUCAUGGAUUAGCGCACGGUCCGAUAUUUCCCUGUGGUUCUCCGCUCACUGGAUGCCUGAUUCUCUUGUACUGUGCUUUAAAAACAGCAAUGUUCAGAGUCACAGUGGAGUCAGGAAGAGGGAGCUUGCCAUUAGUCCUGAUUAUUUAAGCAAACUCCCGUUCUUUCCUCCCGCAUCCUGCUCUCAAACCUCCAAUGUGCUGUGUGCAGAUGUGCUAUGGGUUCCUAGGAGAAUGCUGUGAUACAGACAGCGGGACUGGUCUCCUCUUGCCCCUCCCCAUCCCAUUUGUGCUGGGGGAAAUGUAGUCACAUCAUUUGCAUUUAUCAGGAGAAUAUGCCUCCUUGUCUGUAGCCUUUAGUCUGACUGAAUUGCUUUUCUGCUUCAUGAAACACACAGCGCGGCAGCCCAGUGCUCCUUUCUCCUCCUCACUUCACCGGCGUCGGGCCGUAACCCACUUUGCUCUCCAGCGCAUUUAUCAUAUUGAUCGUAUAAGAAAUAGAUCAUAAGCAGAAUGAAAUUACCGAAUGCAAUGAUCUGGGGCAUCCUAUGGACCAGAUCAAUCUUGGGGCAGCCAGGAAAAAAAGUCCCUUGCUGUGACGUUUUCCGAAGUUGAUUUUCAUUGCAGAUAGAAAUUUCCAUCAGCUGAGGCACCCUGGAGGGAAAAGUCUGCUGUGCUGACAAGGGGUGUGUGUGUGUGUGUGUGU
This 844-nucleotide long non-coding RNA is filed under the name Homo sapiens (human). Its description in RNAcentral is "HSALNT0020883". Lineage: Eukaryota; Metazoa; Chordata; Mammalia; Primates; Hominidae. The record is from RNAcentral.